RNAcentral lists this ribosomal RNA (481 nucleotides) under uncultured Alphaproteobacteria bacterium. RNAcentral describes it as "bacterial SSU rRNA". It matches the Rfam family "Bacterial small subunit ribosomal RNA", at positions 1004 to 1504 of the family's 1533-position model. The record is from RNAcentral. Lineage: Bacteria; Pseudomonadati; Pseudomonadota; Alphaproteobacteria.
AGAUGGAUGNUCCCUUUCGGGGACGCAGUGACAGGUGCUGCAUGGNCUGUCGUCAGCUCGUGUCGUGAGAUGUUCGGUUAAGUCCGGCAACGAGCGCAACCCACAUCCUUAGUUACCAGCGGUUCGGCCGGGAACUCUAAGGAAACUGCCCGUGAUAAGCGGGAGGAAGGUGUGGAUGACGUCAAGUCCUCAUGGCCCUUACGGGUUGGGCUACACACGUGCUACAAUGGCAGUGACAAUGGGUUAAUCCCAAAAAACUGUCUCAGUUCGGAUUGUCGUCUGCAACUCGACGGCAUGAAGUCGGAAUCGCUAGUAAUCGCGUAACAGCAUGACGCGGUGAAUACGUUCCCGGGCCUUGUACACACCGCCCGUCACACCAUGGGAGUUGGGUUUACCCGAAGGCCGUGCGCCAACCUUUCGAGGAGGCAGCGGACCACGGUGAGCUCAGCGACUGGGGUGAAGUCGUAACAAGGUAACCGUA